Molecule: long non-coding RNA, 2419 nt
Organism: Bactrocera oleae (olive fruit fly)
Lineage: Eukaryota; Metazoa; Arthropoda; Insecta; Diptera; Tephritidae
Source: RefSeq, a predicted model, not a curated record
GAAAAAUAAGCUCUUCCAAUUUCAUUUAAAUAACUCCCACAUUGGCCGCUAUAUGUGGUAUAAAGGCAAUGGCAAGUUCGAAAAUCUUUAUAUUAGGUAUAGGGUAUAUAACUAUCAAAGAUUCCCGAUAUUCCCGAAAUUCCCGAAUUCCAGAAAUCCCAUGCAUUGACCGAUAUUUUCGACAAAAAUCAGUCAUACGCACUGGCGUCCACGUAUUCGGUAUGUGUGGGCUUGAACAGUUAAGGUCCGAUUUUUACUUAAUUUGUCUUACCCACUCUGAAAACAGCGUUUCGAGAAAAAAUGAGUAUUUUUAAAAGCCGAUUACACUUAAAAUAAAAAAUUAGUAACAGUUAAGUUUGGAUAUAACUGUACAUUAAACAUUCUCGUAAAAUGUAAGACUGUACAGCUCAGAAAUCGACCAAAAUUUUACAUCAGUAUUAAGUACGCGAUGUGAAAAAAUUUGAAGAGUGGCCAAACGAAAAGACAAGUGAGUUAAAUCAAAUAGGGUGUAUUAAUUCAAAGACAAAAACAAGAAGCAACGUUAACUUCCGUUGCACAGAAGCUAGAAAACCCUUCAUAAUAUAUGCUUUAGUGUUGCGAUUUGAACAAUAUGUUCGGAGAUUGUAGUGUUACCUUGGACAAUAACUCAUGCCAAAUUUAGUGAAGAUACUUUGCCAAAUAAAUAAUUUCCAUGCAAGAACUUGAUUUUGAUGGGUCAGUUUGUAUAACAGCUGUAUAUUACAGUGCUCCGAUAUCGCUGGUUCCGAGAAAUGAGCAGCUCUUGAUGAGAAAAAGAUGUGUGUAAAAUUGCAUAUGGAUAUCUCAAAAACUGAGAGAUUAUUUCGCAUAGAUACGUAUAGAAGGACAGACAUACGGACAUUGCUAAAUCAACUCAGCUCGUCUCAUAUACAUAUAUACAUAUAUAUAUACUUGUAUACAUAUAUAUAUAUACUUUAUAGAGUCUCCGACGUUUCCUUUUGGGUGUUACAAUCAUCGCAGCGAACUUAAUAUACUUAAGCAACCAAACCAAAUUGAGAUCUAAGAAAGUGGAAACUGCAUAUUUGUGAACAUUUUUAAGUGAUAACUCUAAGAACACCAGCGAUCUUCAGUUAUACAUAUAAGAGAAACAAACAGGUUCAUAUACAUACACAUAAAUCUAUAAAUAAUAUGAAUAAUUAUAUAUGAAGAAACAACAACAUAUUUAUAUUGCAAAGCAGAGAUAAGAACUACAAUAUAAAAAUUUCAAACAAGUAAUACCCUACAGCCGUCUCGGAAUAGCUGUCGAAUUAUUUUAUAAGGAAUCAUAAUUUUACGAACAUAUUUUAAAACGUUUUUGUAUAAUAUUUAAGUAAUUCAUACAUUCUUGAAAAAAAUACACUAGUGGAAAAUAAUUGCCGUUAAGCGGGUUUCUUGCUAUUGCACGAAUAGAACAGCUGAACAACUAACUGUUACAUGAUUCCUAAGUUAGAUAAUUACAAAAAUCAAGCCUAUAAAUAUAUUUCUUUGGUAAUGAAUUUUAUAAAACUUAGCGACUAACAUAUGUAUAUGUUAGAUAUAUUAUAUAACGAAAACUGGUAUGCAUGUAUCGAUAACACUCAGAACGUUACUGUAGGUAACAUACAAACGCAUAAAAGCUCCGAGUUUGGCAAAAUAUUUAUUUCGACAACGACAGCCACGGUCUGCACAAGUGCUGUAAUUGUUUGUGCUUAUUUAAAAACUCAGUUAAAAAUUCCAAAAAAAUUAAAAAUGAAUAUAUGCGAUUUAUAUAUAUUUGUUUAGAUGCAAAUAUUUCUAAUGUGGAGCAAAUAAUGAAGAGCUCUCACCACAGGUUUCUGAUGCUCAGCAGAAUGCCUUAUUAGUGGCACAAAAAAUGAGAAACGAACUAAUAGAUCAUCGUGGUAACGUAAUAGAAACAACUACUGAGGGAUCAUGGUUUUAUCGACAUUUUCACCUAUGAGCAACAAGCGAGAUGUAAUAAAAUAUUAAAACAAUAACAGUAUUUGACUCUUGCGAGAAACAACCAAGUUAUUUUCGUGUACUUAUUUAUAUAAUAAGUUGUUUCAGUCAAAAAGUUUAGUGAGCGCCGACACAUAGAAAACUUAGUGAAAAAUAGCAUAAAAUUUAUUCAUGAAACUUAAAAGGGCAGUGAUCGUUUCAAAAGAAAAAUGAUUUUUGGGAUUUUCUUCAGGGAAACUACUGAAUUAAAUGUUUUAAAAUUUUGAAUAUGUUCAUAUAAAAUUUCAUUUUUCUCUCAAAAAAAAGAUGAUUUUUAACAAUUAUAUAUUUUUUAAUCGAAAAAAUGGAGGGAUUGUACAGUGAAACAAAAAAAGUAAAAAAAACAUCAAAGCAAUUGAAUGAUUUUUCUUUCGAGUCAAAACUGCAGCCAAUUUGAAAAAUGAAGAUUUGUGAAAAACGCGUU